This 517-nucleotide ribosomal RNA is filed under the name uncultured bacterium. RNAcentral's name for it is "partial 16S ribosomal RNA". It matches the Rfam family "Bacterial small subunit ribosomal RNA", at positions 355 to 881 of the family's 1533-position model. The record is from RNAcentral.
UGGGGAAUAUUGGACAAUGGGCGCAAGCCUGAUCCAGCCAUGCCGCGUGAGUGGAUGAAGGCCCCUAGGGUUGUAAACGCUCUUUCCACCGGUGAAGAUAAUGACGGUAACCGGAGAAGAAGCCCCGGCUAACUUCGUGCCAGCAGCCGCGGUAAUACGAAGGGGGCUAGCGUUGUUCGGAUUUGACUGGGCGUAAAGCGCACGUAGGCGGACUUUUAAGUCAGGGGUGAAAAUCCCGGGGGCUCAAACCCCGGAACUGCCUUUGAUACUGGAAGUCUUGAGUAUGGUAGAGGUGAGUGGAAUUCCGAGUGUAGAGGUGAAAUUCGUAGAUAUUCGGAGGAACACCAGUGGCGAAGGCGGCUCACUGGACCAUUACUGACGCUGAGGUGCGAAAGCGUGGGGAGCAAAACAGGAUUAGAUACCCUGGUAGUCCACGCCGUAAACGAUGAAUGUUAGCCGUUGGGGAGUUUACUCUUCGGUGGCGCAGCUAACGCAUUAAACAUUCCGCCUGGGGAGU